RNAcentral lists this ribosomal RNA (464 nucleotides) under uncultured bacterium. RNAcentral's name for it is "bacterial SSU rRNA". It matches the Rfam family "Bacterial small subunit ribosomal RNA", at positions 338 to 795 of the family's 1533-position model. The record is from RNAcentral.
CCUACGGGGCGCACCAGUGGGGAAUUUUGGACAAUGGGCGCAAGCCUGAUCCAGCAAUGCCGCGUGAGUGAAGAAGGCCUUCGGGUUGUAAAGCUCUUUUGUCAGGGAAGAAACGGCUGUGGCUAAUAUCCAUGGCUAAUGACGGUACCUGAAGGAUAAGCACCGGCUAACUACGUGCCAGCAGCCGCGGUAAUACGUAGGGUGCAAGCGUUAAUCGGAAUUACUGGGCGUAAAGCGUGCGCAGGCGGUUUUGUAAGUCUGACGUGAAAACCCCGGGCUCAACCUGGGAAUUGCGUUGGAGACUGCAAGGCUGGAGUCUGGCAGAGGGGGUAGAAUUCCACGUGUAGCAGUGAAAUGCGUAGAGAUGUGGAGGAACACCGAUGGCGAAGGCAGCCCCCUGGGUCAAGACUGACGCUCGUGCACGAAAGCGUGGGGAGCAAACAGGAUUAGAUACCCGUGUAGUC